Molecule: ribosomal RNA, 250 nt
Filed under: uncultured bacterium
Lineage: Bacteria
Description: partial 16S ribosomal RNA
Rfam family: Bacterial small subunit ribosomal RNA
Source: RNAcentral
AACCUACGGGGGGCAGCAGUGGGGAAUAUUGCACAAUGGGGGAAACCCUGAUGCAGCGACGCCGCGUGAGUGAAGAAGUAAUUCGUUAUGUAAAGCUCUAUCAGCAGGGAAGAAAAUGACGGUACCUGAGUAAGAAGCCCCGGCUAACUACGUGCCAGCAGCCGCGGUAAUACGUAGGGGGCAAGCGUUAUCCGGAUUUACUGGGUGUAAAGGGAGCGUAGACGGCAGAGCAAGUCUGGAGUGAAAGGCG